UACGAAGGGAGCUAGCGUUGCUCGGAUUUACUGGGCGUAAAGCGCGUGUAGGCGGUUUGAUAAGUUAGGCGUGAAAGCCCAGGGCUUAACCCUGGAAUUGCGCUUAAUACUGUCAAGCUAGAGUAUGGUAGAGGGUGGUGGAAUUCCCAGUGUAGAGGUGAAAUUCGUAGAUAUUGGGAGGAACACCGAUGGCGAAAGCAGCCACCUGGGCCAUAACUGACGCUAAGACGCGAAAGCGUGGGGAUCAAACAGG
Molecule: ribosomal RNA, 253 nt
Filed under: uncultured bacterium
Lineage: Bacteria
Description: partial 16S ribosomal RNA
Rfam family: Bacterial small subunit ribosomal RNA
Source: RNAcentral